GGGGAAUAUUGCGCAAUGGGCGAAAGCCUGACGCAGCCAUGCCGCGUGUGUGAAGAAGGCCUUCGGGUUGUAAAGCACUUUCAGAGGGGAGGAAACGGUACGGGCUAAUACUCCGUGCACUUGACGCUACCCUCAGAAGAAGCACCGGCUAAUUCCGUUCCAGCAGCCGCGGUAAUACGGAAGGUGCAAGCGUUAAUCGGAAUUACUGGGCGUAAAGCGCGCGUAGGCGGCUUCGUAAGUCGGGUGUGAAAGCCCCGGGCUCAACCUGGGAACUGCGCUCGAUACUGCGGAGCUCGAGUACGAGAGAGGGGGGUGGAAUUCCAGGUGUAGCGGUGAAAUGCGUAGAGAUCUGGAGGAACACCGGUGGCGAAGGCGGCCCCCUGGUUCGAUACUGACGCUGAGGUGCGAAAGCGUGGGGAGCAAA
RNAcentral lists this ribosomal RNA (424 nucleotides) under uncultured bacterium. RNAcentral describes it as "bacterial SSU rRNA". It matches the Rfam family "Bacterial small subunit ribosomal RNA", at positions 356 to 772 of the family's 1533-position model. The record is from RNAcentral.